AUAUGGCAGGUUCAAACAAUAAAGCAGUGGUUUUCAACCAGGGUUUCGCGGAACCUUAAGGUUCCGUUAGUACAGUCCAGGGGUUCCGCAAGAAGUUACAAAAAUGCUAAAUUCAACAGUAAUUUUUAAUUCUCCUCUGCAGAUAUGUGUGCAUAAGACAAUUAAAUUAUUGCACAGGGGUUCCU
This is a long non-coding RNA of Octopus sinensis (East Asian common octopus), 185 nucleotides long. RefSeq lists it as uncharacterized. The transcript is spliced from 3 exons. Lineage: Eukaryota; Metazoa; Mollusca; Cephalopoda; Octopoda; Octopodidae. The record is from RefSeq and is a predicted model, not a curated record.